GAGAGUGUGUGUGUGAGAGAGAGAGCAUAUACAGAUAAGGGGAUGGUUUGAACUUUAUUCUCUUCAAGUUGUCUUACUUUGUUGUUUCAGAAAACGAGGCUUUGUUUCUUUCUCUCCUUCCUUGUUUAUAUAUUUAGCCUACAUUAUCUUGUGCUAAACUUAAAAGUGAUUUUUGUCUCUCUGUUGUCUUACUUCCUUUUUCUUCUCCUACUCUAUACUGCAAUCCGUGUGUAAAUUCUACUAUAAUCAUUAGUGAUUUUGCCGACAAAAAUAUAAUCUUUGGUUCAUUUACAAAACAACAAUUAAUCAGAAACUGAAGUAGCACUAAGAAAGACUUUUCAGAUGUUGAUUUUAUUUGGAUCACUCUUAAUAUUUCUAAUUCAGAAUUAUUUGGAAGAGGAGGAAGGGAAGAAAUAGUGACAGAGGGUGCAUGAAGGAACAGUGAGAAAAUGAGGGAUGAGUAUUCCAAGAAAAGCAAGCUGUCAUGGUCAAGAAAAUUAGUUGAGAAAUGGUUCAAUAUUAAGGGCAAAACUGAGGAAUUCCAGUCUGAUGAAUCUGUCCGUGGAGGAAGUUAUGAGCGGAGAACAAGCAUAUCCGACUGGGAUCACUGCACAAUGAAGAAGAUUAAAACAGAAAAAUCAACCAGGGGUAUGGAGCAUCCCCCAUGGGGAAGUGUCGAUCUUGAUCGUCCUCAGAUUAUAAGUGUACAAAAUUAUAGAGUCUUUGUCUCUACAUGGAAUGUGGGCGGAGAAUCACCACCGAGCAAUUUGAAUCUAGAUGAAUGGCUUCAUUCCUCACCCCCUGCAGAUAUUUAUGUACUCGGAUUUCAGGAAAUAGUUCCGCUAAAUGCUGGUAAUAUUCUGGGAGUUGAAGACAAUGGCCCCGCCAAAAAGUGGAUGGCUUUGAUCGGGAAGACAUUAAACAGCGGUCCUGGUACUAGUGGAGGUAAUGGUUGCUACACUUCUCCUGUUCCAGAUCCAAUUGCCGAGUGGAAUGCUGACUUUGAGGGGUCAAAAAGACACAAGGCAUCGUCCUUCUUUCAUCGUCGUUCAUUCCAGACUCCUCAAUGCGGGAUCAUGGAAAAUGAUCCAUCCAUCUUGCAACCUCGCAUGGAUGGACGAUACAGUGUUUGUGAUCGAGUAAUUCUUGGUCAUAGGUCUAGUGAUUUUGAUCCUAAUAUUAGGUGGGAGCAGAGGCAAAGCGACUAUACUUCUGCUCACUGGCCAAGUGAUUAUUCAUCUUGUCACAGGCCAAGCGAUUAUUCAUCUGGCCAUAGGCUUAGUGACUAUUCCUGCGGACAGAGGCCAAGUGAUUUCUCCAAAUGGGGCUCGUCAGAUGAUGAUUAUGGACCUGCAGAUUCACCAACUGCUUCGUUUUCACCUGUGACAAAUGGAGUGUACGCUCCUAUGGAAGACGGUUAUAGAAUGCCCAAAAAUUCAACCUACUGUUUAGCAGCAAGUAAACAAAUGGUUGGCAUUUUUCUCACUGUAUGGAUGCGGAGUGAUCUUAGGGAACAUGUUGGGAAUAUGAAAAUAUCAUGUGUUGGCAGAGGGUUGAUGGGUUACCUUAGGAAUAAGGGAUCUAUUUCAAUCAGUAUGCAGUUGCAUCAGACAAGCUUUUGCUUUGUUUGCUCUCACUUAACCUCUGGUCAAAAAAAGGGUGAUGAGUUGCGCAGAAAUUCUGAUGUCAUGGAGAUCCUAAAGAAAACGAGGUUUCUGCAAGUUAGUGGUGCAGGUGAAGAGAAAUCACCAUCACCAGAGACUAUUCUUGAACACGACCGGGUUAUUUGGCUUGGGGAUUUGAACUAUCGGAUUGCACUUUCUUAUCAUUCUGCAAAAGCACUUGUUGAGAUGCAAAACUGGAGAGCAUUGUUGGGAAAUGACCAGCUGAGGAUAGAACAAAGACGUGGUCGAGUUUUUGUGGGAUGGAAAGAAGGAAAGAUAUAUUUCCCACCAACAUAUAAAUAUUCUAGGAAUUCAGAUAAGUAUGCUGGGGAAGACAUUCAACCAAAGGAGAAGCGUCGAACGCCUGCAUGGUGUGAUCGGAUUCUGUGGCAUGGAAGGGGUUUCCAACAGUUGUCUUAUGUGCGUGGGGAAUCAAGAUUUUCAGAUCAUAGAGCCGUUUUCAGUAUUUUUUGGGUUGAAGUUGAGUCAGUACGCAAUAGAUUGAGGAAAAUGAGUUGUUCAAGCUCAAGAAUUGAGGUGGAGGAGCUCUUGCCCUAUGCACAUGGUUAUACCGAACUCUGUUUCUUCUGAAGUAGAAUGAGGACAUAAAGCCUCAGUAUUCGGUAGAUACUCUAAUUUUUGUAAUUAUGCUAUUCAUUUGGUGAGACAAGUUAUCUGCUUCCUAAUAACUAUCAACUAAACUACACAAGCGUGGAGCUCGGUGGCUUGGUUUGGAGUCCUUUGGUGAGAUUGUGGCCAGCCAUGCAAGAGACAUGGCGUAUCAACACGCUGGAAAUCUGAGCUCAUGAGCUGUGGUUUUGAGUCUACUUUCUUUUGGAUACUAAGUCAGUAUUUUUUUGGGGGGCAAUUAUAACAGGAUGAACUUAACCAACGGUUAGAAGGAUUUCCAAGUGGGAAAAUGAUAGUUCUGUUCCGAGAUUCUUUAUUAUAGUUAGGUAGAGAAAUUCAAUGACGCGAAGAGAAUGUGACAUGGUGCAAAUUAAUCAUGUUUCAAUGAAGAAAAGGCAGAGAUCUGAUCAUGUGUUGAAUGCUGUAUACUCAAUUACAAUGUACAGGAAGAUAUCCUGUUGCUUGCUUUUCUUUCUCAUCUGUGGAUGUUAAAUACAGUAAUAAAAAGUAGUAGUAAUAGACAGAUUUACAAGGA
RNA transcript from Nicotiana tabacum (common tobacco), 2829 nucleotides. It is a transcript of the gene named type IV inositol polyphosphate 5-phosphatase 7-like, with no coding region annotated. The record is from RefSeq and is a predicted model, not a curated record. NCBI's taxonomy places the organism in Eukaryota, Viridiplantae, Streptophyta, Magnoliopsida, Solanales, Solanaceae.